UUGGAGGGCAAGUCUGGUGCCAGCAGCCGCGGUAAUUCCAGCUCCAAUAGCGUAUAUUAAUGUUGUUGCAGUUAAAAAGCUCGUAGUUGAAUUUCGGGACCAAUAUGUCGGUCGUGCCUCGGUACGUACUGGUGUCAUUGGUUUCUCCCUUCUGAGGAUCCUUGAUGUCAUUAAUUUGGUGUCUUGGGGAAUCAGGACUGUUACCUUGAAAAAAUUAGAGUGUUUAAAGCAGGCAUACGCUUGAAUACAUUAGCAUGGAAUAAUGAAAUAGGACGUUCGAUUCUAUUUUGUUGGUUUCUAGGAUCGACGUAACGAUUAAUAGGGAUAGUUGGGGGCAUUAGUAUUCAAUUGUCAGAGGUGAAAUUCUUGGAUUUAUUGAAGACUAACUACUGCGAAAGCAUUUGCCAAGGAUGUUUUCAUUAAUCAAGAACGAAAGAUAGGGGAUCGAAGACGAUCAGAUACCGUCGUAGUCUUAACCAUAAACUAUGCCGACUUGGGAUCGGAUGAUGUUAAUUUUUUAAUGACUCAUUCGGCGCCUUACGGGAAAC
Molecule: ribosomal RNA, 548 nt
Filed under: uncultured Glomus
Lineage: Eukaryota; Fungi; Glomeromycota; Glomeromycetes; Glomerales; Glomeraceae
Description: SSU rRNA
Rfam family: Eukaryotic small subunit ribosomal RNA
Source: RNAcentral